Molecule: long non-coding RNA, 1385 nt
Organism: Cannabis sativa
Lineage: Eukaryota; Viridiplantae; Streptophyta; Magnoliopsida; Rosales; Cannabaceae
Exons: 3
Source: RefSeq, a predicted model, not a curated record
AAUAAUCAGAUCACAUAACCAAAAAAAACCCUAACUUUUCUCUUUAUCUCGCCUCUCUCUCUCUCUCUCUCUCUCUGCCGCAGAACUCCCAGCCACCUCCGGUGACCUCGCCCACCUAUCCUUCUUCUCUCUUUCUUCCUCUCUGGCGGCCUAGACAUAUGGAGCGCCUCCCCUCUCUCUGCCCAGAUGCGCGACCUGCGCGUCGCCUCUCUCUCUGCCCAGAUGUGCGGCCAAAUCCCAGUAUUGGUGGUCGAAUCUGACCACAAAAUCAAGCUCGACGCACGUAAAAAUGAAGACGCCGAAGAAGGAAAAGGCACCUCCACUGUCAUCGAAGCCCGCUAAGUCAGGGGGAGGCAAGUAGAAAAAGAAGUUUGCAGGUGUAAGCAAAACUUCCUGGUGUAUGGUAUUGGUCUUGCUAUUUAAUUAAUGAAUGCAGCAAGAUGUCACCAUUAUUUGUAAGUAAUUUUGUUUACAUUACAAUUUUAGUAGUUUAUAGGUCAAUCGUUUCGUUAGUUUUGUUAUCUGUCUAAAAUGCAAAUCUGCAGGCCAUGCUUUGAUUUUUUUAAAUGAUUAUUCCUUAGUGAGACUAAUAAUUUGAAUUAUAAUGAUAUCAUCAUAAAUAUGAAUAGUUCAUGGGAUCUUUGAAUUACUCUGUAGGAUGGUUUUGUCUUGAGACUUGAAUGUCAAUCAUGAUUAAUUGUAAAAAUUAAAAAAGAAAAAAUUUUGAGAGAAGGCAUUGGUGUAUAUAGUUAUGUUAUUCAUUUCAUAUAUCUGUAAUUUUUUUUUUGUAAUAUUAGAUUUGAGGGUGUUGGAUCUAUCUCUCUAGGAUCUCUCUCAUACUCUUUCAGCUCUCUUUCUUCAAAUGCAUGUUGCUAACUUUUACAAUUAGAAAGUAACAUACCUUAUUUUUGCUCUGCUUUAGAGCUCUGUUUUUUCGUAAAAUUUAUUUGCUUGUUUUUUUUCAUAGAUUUGGGAAGGAUUAUAUGUGAGGAUUCUAAGGCACAAAAGUUAGAUUUCCAAAAAAGAAUUGAAGCUAUAAGAUUGUAAUUGAAAUGACAAUUAUUCUUAGUAGACACUUUGAUUUUGCUCAUUAAUCUCAUUACAAUUAUUACUUGUUUUUGCUUAUUUUGACAACAGAAAAUAAUGAUAUGUGUUGCAAAUAGAUACAAGGGAUGCUGGCUCGAUCUUAUGCGAGUUAGAUGCUGGUGAUGGAUAAAGUUGAUCUAUAAGAUUGUCCAAGAGCAAGACUACAAAAAGAAUGCAUCAGAUAUCUUUGUCAUAUUUUUACUUUUAUAUUUUUUUUUUUGGGUUUGUAGUCAUAUUUUUUUUUUACUGUUAUUGUAUUUUAUUUAUGUAUUUUAUUUACAUUAUACUUGUAUUUUUUU